Molecule: ribosomal RNA, 460 nt
Filed under: uncultured bacterium
Lineage: Bacteria
Description: partial 16S ribosomal RNA
Rfam family: Bacterial small subunit ribosomal RNA
Source: RNAcentral
CCUACGGGUGGCAGCAGUGAGGAAUAUUGGACAAUGGGCUUACGCCUGAACCAGCCAAGUCGCGUGAGGGAAGAAGGCCCUAUGGGUUGUAAACCUCUUUUGUCAGGGAGCAAUUGGUGCUACGAGUACCGUUAUCGAUUGACCCUAAAGAAAAAACAUCGUCUAACUCCGUGCCAGCAGCCGGGGUAAUAAGGAGGAUGCGAGCGUUAUCCGGAUUGAUUUGGUUAAAGGGAUGCGUAGGCGGCAUGCCAAUUCAGCGGGAAAAUCCCGGGGCUAAACCUCGCUCCGCGGUUGACACUGGCGUUCUUGAGUGGGCGAGAAGUAUGCAGAAUGCGUGGUGUAGCGGUGAAAUGCAUAGAUAUCACGCAGAACUCCGAUGGCGAAGGCAGCAUACCGGCGCCAAACUGACGCUGAAGCACGAAAGCGUGGGUAUCGAACAGGAUUAGAUACCCGAGUAGUC